GACGAACGCUGGCGGCGUGCUUAACACAUGCAAGUCGAACGGUAAGGCCCUUCGGGGUACACGAGUGGCGAACGGGUGAGUAACACGUGGGUGAUCUGCCCUGCACUUCGGGAUAAGCCUGGGAAGCUGGGUCUAAUACCGGAUAGGACCACUGCCUGCAUGGGUGGUGGUGGAAAGCUUUUGCGGUGUGGGAUGGGCCCGCGGCCUAUCAGCUUGUUGGUGGGGUAAUGGCCUAGCAAGGCGACGACGGGUAGCCGGCCUGAGAGGGUGACCGGCCACACUGGGACUGAGAUACGGCCCAUACUCCGACGGGAGGCAGCAGUGGGGAAUAUUGCACAAUGGGCGCAAGCCUGAUGCAGCGACGCCGCGUGAGGGAUGACGGCCUUCGGGUUGUAAACCUCUUUCAGCACCGACGAAGCGCAAGUGACGGUAGGUGCAGAAGAAGGACCGGCCAACUACGUGCCAGCCGCCGCAGUAA
This 478-nucleotide ribosomal RNA is filed under the name uncultured bacterium. RNAcentral's name for it is "partial 16S ribosomal RNA". It matches the Rfam family "Bacterial small subunit ribosomal RNA", at positions 28 to 523 of the family's 1533-position model. The record is from RNAcentral.